RNAcentral lists this long non-coding RNA (2925 nucleotides) under Salmo salar (Atlantic salmon). RNAcentral describes it as "lncRNA (ENSSSAG00000091854.1)". Lineage: Eukaryota; Metazoa; Chordata; Actinopteri; Salmoniformes; Salmonidae. The record is from RNAcentral.
CAGGAGAGGAGAUGGGGUGGGUAGUAGGGAAUCCGGACUGAGGCUGAGGGCAAGGAGAUUAGGAACCAGGUAAGCAGGUCUGGAGAAGAAUCCAAUGACGCAGUAGAGCGGGGAUCCAGGGCAAGGAAGCAGGACUGAAGAGACGAGGGACUGGAGACAGGUACCAGAGUCAGAGCAGACGGGACUGUAGCAGAGAGAAAAAGCAGCGUGAGGCUAGGAACAAACAGCUAGAAAUGCAGACUGACUGAGUAGAGGCUACGAUCUGGCAGCGUGGAAGUGGCAGGGCUGAGUAUUUGUAGAGGUCUUGAUUACGGAACAGGUUGCAGCUGGUGGGAUUUGGUUACCACAGGGUUAACAGGGUUACCACAGGGUUAACAGGGUUACCACACGUUACCACAGCGUUACCACAGGGUUAACAGCAUUACCACAGGGUUAACAACAUUACCACAGGGUUAACAGGGUUACCACACGCUACCACAGCGUUACCACACGUUACCACAGGUUACCACAGCGUUACCACAUGGUUGCCACAGGGUUUACAAGGUCACCACAGGGUUAACAGGGUUACCACACGCUACCACAGCGUUACCACAGCGUUAACAGGGUUACCACAGAGUUACCACAGGGUUACCACAGUGUUACCACAGGGUUUACAAGGUUACCACAGCGUUACCACAGCGUUACCAAAGGGUUAACAGCAUUACCACAGCGUUACCACAGCGUUAAGAGGGUUACCACAGCAUUACCACAGGGUUAACAGCGUUAUCACAGGGUUACCACAGCGUUACCAAAGUGUUAACAGUAUUACCACAGCGUUACCACAGCGUUACCAGCGUUACCACAGCGUUAACAGGGUUACCACAGCGUUAACAGGUUUACCACAGCGUUAACAGCGCUAGCACAGCGUUAUCACAGUGUUAACGCAGAGUUAACAGGGUUACCACAGCGUUACCACAGCGUUAACAGGGUUACCACAGCGUUAACAGGGUUACCACAGCGUUAACAGGGUUACCACAUCGUUACCACAGCGUUAACAGCAUUACCACAGCGUUAACAGGGUUACCACAGUGUUACCACAGCAUUAACAGGGUUACCACAGCGUUAACAGGGUUACCACAGCGUUACCACAGUGGUAACAGGGUUACCACAGCGUUAACAGGUUUACCACAGCAUUAACAGGGUUACCACAGCGUUAACAGGGUUACCACAGGGUUAACAGCGUCACCACAGGGUUAACAGGGUUACCACAGCAUUACCACAGGCUUACCACAGGGUUACCACAGCGUUACCACAGGGUUAACAGUGUCACUACAGGGUUAACAGGGUUACCACAGCAUUACCACAGGGUUAACAGCAUUACCACAGCGUUAACAGGGUUACCACAGCGUUAACAGCAUUACCACAGGGUUACCACAGCGUUAACAGCAUACACAGAUACAUUUUCAGUUUAAAGAUCAAAUGUAGCAGUUGUCAGUCUUGUAAAUACACAUUCAUGUUUAUUACCAAUUCAUCUGACUAUACAUCAUUACACUUUUAGACAUUUGAUUUAAAACAUUCAUUUUUUUUCCCCACAAUCUUGCUUUUUCUUCUUUAAAAGAAAAACAUUUAAUUAUAUUUAUCUCAUAGUAACAACUGUACAAGGACAGUAAAGUAGUACAAUCAUCUACUUAAACAUGGAUCUUAAUUUAAAUUAAAUUGUGACAACAAAAUGACAGCUGAAGAUAGCUCACCAUGGUUCUUUUCGAUCGCGGGUUUGGACAAUGCGCAAUUUAAAGGUUAUUUUUUUGAUUAAGUCGACAUAUGGAGCAUUGAAUGUGUCUCUGCAAAACGCAGGAACAUUACCUUUUAAAAACGCGCAUUACGGACAAAGUGCGAUCGGAGUAAAUCCCGUCCCUUUAGGGGUCUAUUCAGUCUGUAAAAGGUAAAGCAGUGACACAUUCCAUGAAAGAAAUGUAAAGGUAAUUUUCCGAUUGGACCGACACGUGGAAUGCAGUCUCCGUUAAAGCGGGAAACAUGGCCUUUACAUUUCAAUCACGCUGCGAAGCUGAAGUUACGCGAUGCGGAUUGAAUAGAGCCCCUUAGUCGAGUGUUUACAUCCCAGCGGCAUGACAGAGCACAGUGACAGCAGUAGCUUGUAUGUACAUGCACUAAAGUGCUAGAGUGUUGUUGUUUUUUUACAAAGGCAUGCAGAGCAAAUACGAUUGCAUCCCAAAUAGCACUCUAUUUGCUACAUAGUGCAUUACUUUUGACCAGAGCCCUAUGGUGAAUGCAUUCAGUUGUAUAACUGACUAGGUAUCCCACCCACCCCCUCCCCCCUUUCCCUAUGUGAAUAGGAUGCCAUUUGGGAUAACAGCCUAUGUAACUGAUAAUUGUUACAACUUCCUUCCACAUAUGCAUAAGGGUUAUUCAGUUGCUAUCUUCCCUCUCUUCUUCUACACGUUUACAGAGUUGAACAUUCAUUUCAAACAUAUAGAAAUACAUAUAUUAGCAUCGUAACUGACAUCAUGGAUUCACCUGCCUCAGCCAACAGGAAGCAGUAUUUUUUAUAUUUUUUUGUCUUAAAACAUUUGUUUGUUUGUUUAUUCUACAAAUACAAGUGUCUGACUUCAAGCUUCGAAGGAACAAACAGUAACAUAAGAUAUGUUCAACUGAAUAAGAAAAUAGUUUAAGAGUAUUUACACACAGCACAGAAUAUAACAAAUGAUACGUAUAUGCAGAAUAAACAAAAACAUAAACCAACAGAAAAUGUGUAUACCUUUAUGUUCAUACCGGUAUUAGCAUAACGGUUUUAUAGUUCUCUCAACAUCUGAAAAUGUGUUUAUUAUAUGACUAAUAUAUAUAUACAGUACCAGUCAAGAGUUUGGACACACCUACUCAUUCAAGGGUUUUUCUUUAUUUUUACUAUUUUCUACAUUGUAGAAUAAU